Molecule: ribosomal RNA, 484 nt
Filed under: uncultured bacterium
Lineage: Bacteria
Description: partial 16S ribosomal RNA
Rfam family: Bacterial small subunit ribosomal RNA
Source: RNAcentral
GACGAACGCUGGCGGCGUGCUUAACACAUGCAAGUCGAACGAUGAAGCCGGAGCUUGCUCUGGUGAAUUAGUGGCGAACGGGUGAGUAACACGUGAGUAACCUGCCCUUGACUCUGGGAUAACUGCGGGAAACUGUAGCUAAUACCGGAUACGACCCUCGGAGGCAUCUCCUGGGGGUGGAAAGAAUUUCGGUCAAGGAUGGACUCGCGGCCUAUCAGCUGGUUGGUGAGGUAAAGGCUCACCAAGGCGACGACGGGUAGCCGGCCUGAGAGGGUGACCGGCCACACGGGGACUGAGACACGGCCCAGACUCCUACGGGAGGCAGCAGUGGGGAAUAUUGCACAAUGGGCGCAAGCCUGAUGCAGCAACGCCGCGUGAGGGGUGACGGCCUUCGGGUUGUAAACCUCUUUUAGCAGGGAAGAAGCGAAAGUGACGGUACCUGCAGAAAAAGCACCGGCUAACUACGUGCCAGCCGCCGCCGUAA